AACGAACGCUGGCGGCAGGCUUAACACAUGCAAGUCGAACGCAUUCUUUGGGGUGAGUGGCAGACGGGUGAGUAACGCGUGGGAACGUGCCCUUCAGUUCGGGAUAACCCAGGGAAACUUGGGCUAAUACCGGAUACGUGCGAGAGCAGAAAGAUUUAUCGCUGAAGGAUCGGCCCGCGUCUGAUUAGCUAGUUGGUGGGGUAAUGGCCCACCAAGGCGACGAUCAGUAGCUGGUCUUUGAGGAUGAUCAGCCACAUUGGGACUGAGACACGGCCCAAACUCCUACGGGAGGCAGCAGUGGGGAAUAUUGGACAAUGGGCGCAAGCCUGAUCCAGCCAUGCCGCGUGAGUGAUGAAGGCCUUAGGGUUGUAAAGCUCUUUCGUCCGGGACGAUAAUGACGGUACCGGAAGAAGAAGCCCCGGCUAACUUCGUGCCAGCCGCCGCCGUAA
Molecule: ribosomal RNA, 449 nt
Filed under: uncultured bacterium
Lineage: Bacteria
Description: partial 16S ribosomal RNA
Rfam family: Bacterial small subunit ribosomal RNA
Source: RNAcentral